UGAUCACUGGCUCACGAAAUAAACUCGCUCCUUGGGUGGCCAGAGGCGGACGGGUGACGAAUAAUCUGAAUCUACUUUGUCGUGGGGGAUAACGUAGGAAAGCUUACGCUAAUACCGUAUACCACCUACAGGUGAAAGCUCGGGACCUUCGGGCCUUGCGCGAUUGAAUGAGCCGAAGUCGGAUUAUCUAGUUGGCGGGGUAAAGGCCCACCAAGGCCACUAUCCGUACCUGGUCUAAGAGGAUGAUCACCCACACUGAAACUGAGACACGAUCCAUACUCCAACGGGAGGCGGCGAUGGGGAAAAUUGGACAAUGGGCGCAAGCCUGAUCCACCCAUACCGCGUGGGUGAACAAGGCCUUCGGGUUGUAAAGCCCUUUUGUUGAGAAAAAAUUCCAUCUGGCUAAUACCCGGUUGGGAUGACUGUACCAAAAAAAUAAGCACCGGCUAACUUCAUGCCCCCAGCCGCGGUAAUAGGAGGGGUGCUAGCGUUACUCUGAAUUACUGGGCGUAAAGCUUGCCUACGUGGUCGUUUAAGUGUGUUGUGAAAGCCCUGGGCUCAACCUGUGAACUGCAUUGGAUACUGGGCGACUAUAGUGUAGGAUAGGGUAACGGAAUUCGUGGUGUAGCAGUGAAAUGCGUACAGAUCAAGAGGA
This 655-nucleotide ribosomal RNA is filed under the name uncultured bacterium. Its description in RNAcentral is "bacterial SSU rRNA". It matches the Rfam family "Bacterial small subunit ribosomal RNA", at positions 74 to 705 of the family's 1533-position model. The record is from RNAcentral.